Molecule: long non-coding RNA, 805 nt
Filed under: Phoenix dactylifera (date palm)
Lineage: Eukaryota; Viridiplantae; Streptophyta; Magnoliopsida; Arecales; Arecaceae
Description: long non-coding RNA (PDAC_LNC017404)
Source: RNAcentral
GAACACACCAUACCUCCAUCCAAAUUCAUCUUGAGAUAGCUAGUAGGUGUUCUACUUUUUCGAGAACCCGCCUCUCUCACUCUUCUACUUCGAUGUAAGCCGCCACACGACCAGAAAUUGAAGCUAAUAUCCACCGUAAUGCAAGACAUCAACGUCUAACCGGGCGACGCUUCACCCGGGCACUAAUAAAUGCAAGCCUUCGUGGACUUCUGUCAAGAAGUCAGACGCUGUCGUUGCGAGCCACGAUGUACAAUCGUGGCAACAGCAGCAGCAGCAGCAGCAUUAGCUGCUUCUCACCCAGGAUGAUAAUGCACUCACCGGGAUUGUUCGAGCGAGAAGAAUCCAUCCUCAUUUUGGGCACUGACAAGAAAAUAGAAUCCGAUCCCCACAAGGUGCCCACCUAACAAAAGCUUCCCAAUCUUCCUGCUGCUUUCUGAAAAAUCGCUAACAAUAAAAAUUAUGGAAUUAUAAGUGUGUUCGUCCUUCUUCAAAUCGCUCUACAUACUUAAAAAGACUUUUGUGUUAACAAAACUGUCACUGUCUACAACAUGAAUGAGUAUACAAAUCAGAGGCCUGGGCCCAAUGGAACCAAAGUGAUCCUCCUCUGGCCUUCAAUUGAAGCCACUGCAGAUUUUACCUUUGAAGCUCUCAGCCUCUUCUUUACAGCCCUAAAUUGUCCUCCCAACCUCCCAAUGAUAGACUCACUGUUAACCUUCGAAACAACAAUAAAACAAAGUCAUGGUGACAAGAACCAUAACAUACAACAGAAAUUAAUAAUCUGACUUAAAACCAGAAAGCAGCCAGC